AUUGAACGCUGGCGGAAUGCUUUACACAUGCAAGUCGAACGGCAGCACGGGGGCAACCCUGGUGGCGAGUGGCGAACGGGUGAGUAAUACAUCGGAACGUACCCGGUCGUGGGGGAUAACGUAGCGAAAGUUACGCUAAUACCGCAUACGAUCUGAGGAUGAAAGCGGGGGACCUUCGGGCCUCGCGCGAUCGGAGCGGCCGAUGUCAGAUUAGGUAGUUGGUGGGGUAAAGGCCUACCAAGCCGACGAUCUGUAGCUGGUCUGAGAGGACGACCAGCCACACUGGGACUGAGACACGGCCCAGACUCCUACGGGAGGCAGCAGUGGGGAAUUUUGGACAAUGGGCGCAAGCCUGAUCCAGCCAUUCCGCGUGCAGGACGAAGGCCUUCGGGUUGUAAACUGCUUUUGUAUGGAACGAAAAGGCUCUGGCUAAUACCUGGGGCUCAUGACGGUACCGUAAGAAUAAGCACCGGCUAACUACGUG
RNAcentral lists this ribosomal RNA (484 nucleotides) under uncultured bacterium. RNAcentral's name for it is "partial 16S ribosomal RNA". It matches the Rfam family "Bacterial small subunit ribosomal RNA", at positions 30 to 507 of the family's 1533-position model. The record is from RNAcentral.